GACAGAGGUGCCAAGCGUUAGGCGGAAUCACUGGGCUUAAAGCGUGUGUAGGCGGACUCGUAAGUGCCUUGUGAAAUCCCCCGGCUCAACCGGGGAACUGCUUGGCAUACUGCGAGUCUUGAGCCACCUAGGGGCAACUGGAACGAACGGUGGAGCGGUGAAAUGCGUAGAUAUCGUUCGGAACGCCAAAGGUGAAAACAGGUUGCUGGGGGUGUGCUGACGCUGAGACACGAAAGCCAGGGGAGCGAACGGG
This 253-nucleotide ribosomal RNA is filed under the name uncultured bacterium. RNAcentral describes it as "partial 16S ribosomal RNA". It matches the Rfam family "Bacterial small subunit ribosomal RNA", at positions 524 to 776 of the family's 1533-position model. The record is from RNAcentral.